UAUGACAGAAAUAGCACCAAAAACUACUGUAUAGCUAUUUUAACAAAAGAAAAAUAUAGCUAAAUUAUCUUGAUUUCUACAUGUAUACUUGUUAAAAAACAUCAUAGCUAACCGGGGCAGUUUUUUUGCUUCCGUUUUUCUGUUCUCAGCCGUGUCAGGUGGAAACAAAUAUACAGAUAGGAACUUUCACAGAUUCCUUUGGCGACAACAGGCAGGAAAAGUACUCUUCCAAUGCCUAUGAAACCUACACUGCUGCAUGACAGGCUCCUCAACGAAGGCCAAAUAUAGAGUUCUUAUAUUGUUCAAUCCUCUGUUCUACACAUACAUUCUAUCAUAUUCCUACAUUUUGCACAUUUUUCCUAUCUUGUGAACCAACGGAGCCCUAAUGGUGGGAACUACGCAAACUCGCCCGUCAACGUCAAUGUCAUCACAACCACCCUGAGGAAACUUCAGUCAAGAUCAGAGGGCAACCAAAUUUGCAUAAAAUAAUUGAAGGCCAAGGUCCUGUUAAUUACCUGAUAUUACAUAAAGUUCAUAUCGGGAACAUGCGGCUACUAAAGCAGUCCACAAGAAAUAGCAGCUGGUGGUCGUGUGCCCGGCCCACAGCCCACAGACUUGCACCCUGGUUUCCAUCUUUCAAACUAUUAUAUAGCAAAGUUAGCAACUGGUACAAUUAAGUGGAGGCUCAGAAUAAAACAACUUGGAAAGCUAGCACAAGGAUGGCAGUAGUGCAUGAAUGCCUUCACUAACAGGCAGGAAGAUUCUUGCCACCUACUUAAAUUCAGACAUGACUCGGAUGAGAUACAUGUACCCAAAUGAUUAAUCCAAAGGUAAUUUAGUCGUGUAUUUUUUUAUAUAUACAAUAUAUAUGCCACAAGUUCACACUCCUGAGCUCACAACACCUCAGCGAUAGCUAGACAGACAAAGCCAUGUUUCCUGCAAGCAAUGGAGCGCCGCAGUAGCAGCUUCUUCCCAUCAUCAUCCUCUACGCCGGCUGCUUCCUCCUCCUCGCUGCUCGAUGCUCCUUGACAUGUCGCCGCUGCAACGCCGCCACCCAUCUCCUUUAGCUUCAACUUCGCCAACUCAUCCUCAUGCGACCCAAAAUACCUCAAUUUCUCGGGUGACGCGGCCGUGAACGGCAGCUUGGUCAACCUUGCAGGCAACUCCUUGCAGCAGUGACUACCGGCGACCGCGGCUUAAUGUCGUAUGGGCCCCCGUCGUCGUUGUAUGACAACAACACCCAUGAGGUGGCGAGCUCAUGCAUGGAUGGCUUCACAGGCAUACGCAGACCAGAUGACUUCACGGGCAUCUUCGUCAAGAAGGGACACCAUCAAAGAUGCAUUAUGAGGGUCAUACACAUCUUUGAGUCCCUACAUUCGGCAAAUUUCCAUUGGCUCAACUCCGCAAAUGUGGUGCUUUUGCCCAAAGAGGGUGCGGAGGGCAUCUCCAACUACAAAACCAUUAGUCUCGUCUAUGCUAUCGAUAUUAUUGCAAAGGUGCUAUCCAUCAGCCUUGGCCCCCGCAUGGAUGCCCUGGUCUCCAACGCGCAAAGUGCAUUCAUCAAGAGGGGAAGGAUUCACGAUAACUUUAUGUACGUCCGAACUUUGCCCACUGGUUGCACAAGUGCGGGACCCCCACCGUACUCUUCAAGCUUGACAUUCGCAAGGCCUUUGAUUCGGUUAAGUGAGAGUACAUCCUUGAUCUUCUACAAAGGAAAGGCUUCCCGACCAAGGUUCGGAAUUGGAUCAUCGUGCUUUUCCGCACAUCUUCAUCGUGGAUCCUCUUGAAUGGUGUGCUUGGCCAUCCCAUGGUGCAUAGUAGGGGGCUUUGCCAAGGCGAUAAACUUUCGCCUCUCAUGUUCGUCAUUGCUGGAACUAGCAACUCCGAAGGGUCUCCUUCACAAGAUUCAUGGGAGAGGUGCUAGGGUGAGAACCUCCCUAUAUGCGAACAAAGCGACUAUGUUCAUAGCUCCUAUCAAGAGGGAUAUUGAUAACAUCGCGACUAUUUUAAAGGGGUACAACAAGGUGACUGGUCUUGGCACCAACUUCCAAAAGAGCUCAGUGGUGCCCAUUCGAUGCAACCAACUCAAUUUGGGCCACAUUCUGCAGAGAUUGUCGGCAACUAGAGCUUCGUCCCCCUUGAGAUAUCUGGGUCUUCCUCUCCCGGUAUGGCGACUCAAGAAGGUGGACCUUCACUUCCUUGAAGACAAGGUGGCCGGAAAACUCGUGACGUGGCCACACAAUGCUAGUCAAGUCCGUCGUCACUUCCCAGGUGGUCUACUUUAUAACACCACUUGUCGUCCUGCCGAAAACACUCCUCAAUGUUAACAAGCUUCAGCGAGCUUUUCGUUGGUUCGACUCGAACAACACUACUAGUGCAAAACGCAAGGUGAAUUGGGAGGCGGCCUGUCGGCCACUCGAAUAUGGAGGCUUUGAGGUGCUCAAACACCGACAAAAUCGCCAGGGCCUUGAGGUUGCGUUGGUCAUGGUUUGAAUGGAAGGAGCCGGGGAACUUGCGGGUUGGUAUGGGAAACCCUUAUGAUGAGGAUGACCUUGAUUUCUUCUAUGCCUCCACCACCAUCACGGUGGAGAAUGGCGAAAAACACCGUUCUGGGACUUACCAUGGCUCCUCGGACGAAAACCAGAAGACAUUGCCCCUCUCAUUUUCAAGGCAUCAACAAGAAAAGAUUGGAAGUUGCGUGAGGCCCUCACGAAGAAUGCUUGGAUUUAAAAGAUCGAACCAUCCACAAUUGUUUCCGUCGACCACAUAAGGGAGUUCUUCACAAUUUGGAUGCUUGUGCAUGACUUCCAUCUUGAUGAGCAUACCAAGGACGACAUCGUGUGGAAACACUCGACAAACGGGCUCUACUCAGCGGCUUCCACCUGCAAGGCGCAAUUCUUUGGUAUGACCCUCUCCCCUAUGGAACAGAUGGUUUGGAAAGUUUGGGCUCCGCUAAAAGUCAAGUUCUUCGCUUGGUUAGCCAUACAAGGCCGAAUUUGGACCACCCAUAGACUGGCCAAGCAAGGCUGGCCAAACUGUGGCCUUUGUCCUCUUUGCAAGAGGGAUCGUGAAGCUAGAGCACAUCUCUUCUCCAAGUGACGUUUUACAAUUUAGCUAUGGAACUUGGUAAUCGAGAAGCUUGGUCUCGACCACAUGUACACUUCUAUACUUAGCACUUGGAGGAUUCCAUCAAGUCUUGGUGGGCUAAUAGGACCGAGUUGAACAUCCCCAGCUAGAUGGCCAUGACUUCUCUCACAAUGCUUGUAUCUUGGACAAUUUGGAAGACAAACUCCCACGUCUUCUAUAACAAGAGUGCACUGCUGGUGAUCUUGCUAAACACCAUUUUAGCCAAAGCCAAUCUUUGGAGCACCGCAAGGGCUAAGAAGCUAGGCACUUAUAGCGCGAGAGUAAUCACCAUGUGUUGUAUGAGAGUCGGUUGUAAAACAAACUAACUCUAUUCUCCCCUUAAUAGAAGAGGCAAAUCUUAUGUCUCCGUUUCAAAAAAGCUCAUGCAUGGAUACCCCAAAGGGGAUGCCAUGGCCUUCUUCCUCGUCGGCUAGCCAUCGGCGCUACCGUCAGACUUGGCCGGUGAUGCCUUCGGCCUCAUAAAUAAGAAAGAGAGCAUCACCUACGACCCGUACCAAUUCGUCGCCAUGGAGUUUGACACGUGCAACAGCACCUUCGAUCCACAGGAAACCAUGGACAACAUCGGCAACGACAUCAGCUCCUUCAGACACUCGGUUAACAUGACAAGCCUACCCAGCUUCAACCUGGAUGGGACCAUGACAACAUCCAUCAAUUUUAACAUCACCCAGAUGCUGGUCGGUAGACUGCACUUCGAUGGCUAAAAUAGCCUAGACAUGACCUGCAACAAAAACAGCCCACGCCCUGGCGGCAACAACUACAGUUAGAACGCAUCAUCAUCCUCCACCGGCAGACCACUCUGCCAACUAUGUGUGAAGAUAAACCAUGAGGUAACUGAGUGUUGGCACCGUUUUAUUAAAAUUAUCUUCUCAACGAACGCCAUGUGGCUGCUGCUCUUCGGGAACAAGGAGAAGGAAACAUGGUGUCGUAUGUUGACUUCGCGCUUGAGAAGCUUGCCAUCUGCAAGAAGUAUUUCGACAACAACCAAGUACACACUGCCGCAAGCGGUGGACGUAUGAACAUCCAUCACAUUGGUCAAGCCUCAAUUAGUUCCCAACUGAUGUUCUAUUAAAAGAUGUUCUCCACAUUCCACAAGGCAAUAAGAAUCUUGCUUCUAUGUCUUGCUUAACAACCCAUAACAAUGUAUUCUUUGAAACACAUCCUAAAUAUUAUUUUUAUAAAGGAUCAGGCAACAAGGGAACUCUUCCAUCGCGGUAGAUGCAUUGGAGGACCUUACCCCAUCACAUCAGGAGCAUUUAGUCAUCAAAAGCGUCGUCGUCAAGCCCUCCUUGGCAGGAUGGCAUCAAAGAGUAGGACAUCCGCCAUCAAUCAUAGUUGAGCAAGUAGUCAAUCAAGGCAAUCUUCCAUUUUCAGGUAGUGAAAAUAAAGAGUCUGUUUGUGAUGCUUGUCAGUGUGCCAAGAGUCACCAACUCUUUGAUGCCAUCUUGCCGAGGGCUUGACGACGGAGUAGGCUUGAAGACAACGCUUUCGACUAAAUGCUCCUCAUGUGAUGGGGUAAAGUCCUCUGAUGCAUCUACCGCGAUCGAGUUCCCUUGUUGUCCGAUCUUUUAAAAGAAAAUAUUUAGGAUGAGUUUCAAAGAAUACAUUGUUAUCGACUAAUAAGCAAGAUAUAGAAGCAAGCUUUUUGUUGGCUUAUGGAGCGUGGAGAACAUCUUUUAAUGGAAGAUCACGUUUAAAAAUAGGGCAUUAAUUGAGGCUUGACCAAUGUGAUGAAUGUUCAUACCUCCACCGCUUGCGGCGGUGUCUACUUCGUUGUUGCUGAAAUACUUCUCGCGGAUGGCAAGCUUCUCAAGCUCACCUGUGAUGUGGUCGGUCACCCCGGAGUAAGCAUACCACAUCGUGGUUCCUUGUUCCUGGAGAAAAGCAGCUACAUGGCGUUCGUCGGGAACAUAAUUUUCAUCAAACGAUGCCAACACUCAAUUACCUCAUGGCUUGGCUUCUUGCAUAGUUGGCAGCAUGGUCUACCGGUGCAGGAGGAUGAUGUGUUCCUGAUUCUAGCCGGGCAUGUGUUGUUGUUGCCACGCCCAUGCACACCGCUAUUACAGCCAUGUCUUGGUGACCACGGCCUGGGCUGCCACUGCCACAGCCACGAGCCGCAGCGUUGGCAGAAGACUGUUGUACGUGCAUCCCUUGGGAAAGGUUGAGUUGUGCCUCAAAGCUCAUCAGAUGGCUGUAAAGCUCCAAGGGUGUGACAAGCUCGACGCGGACAAGGGCUGAGACCACAAAGUUGUACUCAAGGUCCAGACCUAAGCGGACAUAGGAGAUGAUCUCCUGGUUGGAGAGGGGCGCGCCAGCGAGAGUGAUCUCAUUAGAGAGCAUCUUGAUUUGGGUAAGGUACUCCGUCAUGCUGGAGUUACCCUUCUGAAGGUUGACAAGCGCGAUCCUGGUGUUCACGGACUGGGCUCGCGUCUGGGCAGCGAACGUGGCAUGGAUAGCGCUCCACACAUCGGCCUAAGUCUGCAGCGUGACGACCUAGGCAAGCACUUCACAGGACAGGUAACCCAUUAGAUAGCCUUGUACAUGUUGCUGCUGAGCGUACCAGAUCGCGCACGCAUAGUUGACGACCUGCUCUUCCUUCCCGUCGGUGGUGACGAUGAUGGUGACGUGCGACGCUGGGCUUGCUGCGUUGAGGAAGUGGUCCAUCUGUGCGCCCUUAAUAUGGGGCAACACGAUGGCCUUCCAUAGGAGGAAGUUUGUCCUCGUGAACUUCUCUUACAGUGGUGGAUCGAGGGACACAAUGUUGGUGCUGGAGGAGGGAGCAAAGGUGGCAGAUGAAGGUUGGGAGGUCAAGGCACUCAUGGUGCUGGCGAACGCGAAGGCGGUGGUGCCGGUCAUGAUUUCUCUCAGGAGCUUGGCAAGAUGUGAUAUAUGAUCUUAUGAAGAAGCAACUCUGGUACCAUGUAAAUAUUAUGGGAAGCAUAUCUCCUGCCGUAGCAGGCCACGGGUAUUUAUAGACUGAGGCGAUCAGCCAGCCAUGGCAUACAAGUUGAGGACGAUCGCUGAGGAUGCGUCCAGAUACAUGGGAGAUUGAGAGGAGAUCAAAACUGUUUAACUAAAUUCUAUCUCUACUCUAUCUAUCUGUCUAACAAGCUCGCAGUUGCCCCACCUGGAAACGUUAUUCCCACCAGAUGUGGCAGUAGGGUUCUCUGCAGCCACUGGCAUAGGUGUGGAGCUCCAUGAGAUAUUGUCAUGGUCCUUCAACUUCACGCUUGCUCCCAAAGAACAACUACCGAUAUCGAUAUGUAUGUGCUCAUCUUGAGUAGGGCAGUAACUUUUUACAACCUUGCACAAAGAUUUAGGGGGUUAUUUCACAAUCCGGGUGUGUGUUAUCCGCUACGUGUCUAACUGCAGCAGGGAUUGCUGGAGGAGCUUCUGUGUUCCUGCUCGUGGAUUCAUUCAUUCUAUGAUGAUUUAUGCGGAGACGAAGGUGUAAUUCCCUCAUGGUUUCAGGGCUGGCCCUAAGCAAUUCUGGUACCGGGACUUGGCUCGCCCAACCAACAACUUCUCCAUGGAGAGGAAGCUCGGAGAGGGGCGACUUUGGCGCGGUGUACUGGGGAACAGGCCUCAAGGUCGAUCAUGAUGGAUGAUAGCAGCAGGUUGCUGUCAAGGAGCUCUUGAAGGGUGCAAGCCAGGAGGAGCCAAGGACUUCCUCACGAAAGUCAACACAUUAGCAACACCAAGCAUAGGAAUCUGGUCAGGUUGCAAGGCUGGUGUGGCAGAAGCAGAUGGCACUUGAUGUGCUGGUGAUGCAGCCUGAAGCAGCUGGAUGAUCAUAGGCUCUUCCUUGUCUACGAAUUGAUGCCUUAGGUGAUCUCGACCAUCACCUACAUGACAAGGACACGGCAGUUCUGCGAUGGCCAACCAGGUACAAAAUAGUGAAGCGGAUAGGAUUGGCUCUUGUCUACCUCCACCACAAGUGUGUGUCGUACAUCCUACACAGAGAUAUCAAGCCAGGCAAUGUAGACUCCUGGAUGAUGAUUACAAUGCAAGCUCGCCGACUUCGGGCUACCAAGGAUUGGCAACAAAAACAACUCCUCACGGGUGACCACCACCGUAGGGACCGAUGCGUACAUGGAUCCCAAGUUAAAAAUAUAAGGUGAUGUCAAGUUCAACAGGAGCACCAAUGUCUAUAGCUUCGUGCUCAUUCUACUGGAGAUCGCGUGCGGGUGGCGCAACUCCAAGAUGGAAGUAUGGGAUCUCUAUAAAAGAAGCGGCCCCAUGAUCGAUGAGAGUUCGAGAGGGAACUUCCAUGGGGAGCAUAUGACGAUGGUGGAGGCCGCUGCUGACGAGAGGUUGGGAGGCGACUUUGAUAUGGAGCAGAUGCAGCGUGUACUUGUCAUCGGCCUUUGGUGUUCCCUCCCCAACAAUGCAGAGCGACCUUCCAUGCUGGAAGCAAUGCAACUACUGGAAAAAGACGAGUUGCCUCACCUUACAUCCUCGGCCACCACCACUUGUAUUUAGUCUGAUCAUUAUUAGCCAACAUUUGAAAUAAUGCUAUUGGGCAAACGCCCACUGGGGGAGUUCCCAGCAAAAGCACCAACAAGGCACAUGCCUUAGAUCCUGAUCAAGCGAUGACAAUUUUUCUGGAAAAAAAAUGGCUUCAAAAGUAAACCUGUCAGGCAAANNNNNNNNNNNNNNNNNNNNNNNNNNNNNNNNNNNNNNNNNNNNNNNNNNNNNNNNNNNNNNNNNNNNNNNNNNNNNNNNNNNNNNNNNNNNNNNNNNNNNNNNNNNNNNNNNNNNNNNNNNNNNNNNNNNNNNNNNNNNNNNNNNNNNNNNNNNNNNNNNNNNNNNNNNNNNNNNNNNNNNNNNUCAACUAAACUUGCCCCCCCUCCCCAAGAACUAAAUCUAUCAGGCAAAACAUUCGCUUUUGCCAUCUUUCCUGACGAACGUUUGUUAGCUAACAAGGUCCAAUAUAAAUACCACUGCAAAAUAGGGUUAAUUCCAUAGGAAAUUUUUCAAGGCAAUUUCGUUAGUCGCCUUUCAACAUCUGCUCAUAUGAGAGAAUCCCUUGGCCCUCCUCGGGCGACACAAAGAACCAGGACCUGUAACUAGAAGGCACGUCUUGGUCUUGUCACAAAAAAAAGGGCAACCUGGUGCAUGUAGCUCCCGCUUGCGCAGGGUCCAGGGAAGGGUCCGACCACUUUGGGUCUAUAGUACGCAGCCUUUCCCUACAUUUCUGUAAGAGGCUGUUUCCAGGACUUGAACCCAUGACCUCAUGGUCACAAGGCAGCAGCUUUACCACUAUGCCAAGGCUCCCCUUCUACGUCUUGGUCUUGUCACAGACAGAAAGAAUUGGGAUGGAAUCAAGUCUUGACAAGGUACAAGAACACAAAGAUGAAGGAUUCAAAUAAAGAUGGUCCAGAGAAUAGCACUGCAAUCGAGGGACUAACAUAAGGCCGUAAUUAGGAGAAGCUUGGUGAGAUAACCCAUGGAUUUUGAAGGAAUCGUUUUAUUAAAAAAUAUCAUGAGUGGCCAGAACCGCCCUUCUCUACUGCCUAUAUGGCUGACAGUAUGCAUAAGAAUCAAUAUGUAUAGACUAUAGAGUGCAUAGUCCUACUUUAUACAUACUUACAGCGCAAUUUUAUGUGUCAUUGUUACCAAAAAGAGAGGGGGAAGGGGGUACCUUAGCCAAAUGCAGGUUUAUGUGUAUAUCUCCUCUAAGAUGCGAUCACAGAUUGCCAUUAAGUUCACUGCCUUCAGAUCGAAGAUCCUGUCAAUUCUUUCUCUCCAAACAUGCUGCUAGAUCAUCAUGACAAUGGAGGAGAAAUCUGCCAGGCGAUGUGCAAUCAUAAUGUGCAGGUUUUAUUGAAGACACGUAAAAUUGCUUAAAUAUUUAGGUGGGUUGCAAAUAUUUGGUGUCAGGUAAGUAGCCCCUACAGUUUUCGGUCUACACACAAAAAAUAAUAAUUCAACCAUGGCAUUGGCAAACACACAUACAAAAGCACAGAGAUAUCAUUAGCUCCGAAGGAAAAAUACUUAUAGAAGGGUACAUAUACUAAUAUGUUUUUAAGGCGUCCAUAAGGCGUCGCCUAGGCGACGCUUAGGCGUCAGGGCGCCCUGCAAGCUCAAGGCGUCCAGCUUGCCUUAGGUGCAUGAGUAAGGCGUCCGCCUUAAGCUUUAAGGCGUCUGAAGCGCUUCUAAGGCGUCUGAAGCGCUUCUAAGGCGUCCAGGUUGGCGCCUUGGUCCAUAUUGGACGCCUUGAGCUUGCCAGCCAGACAGGGAAGCAGUUUUAGGCUGGAAAAAGAGAUGCUGUUGGCGCCAACGGGUAAGAGGGGGGAAAGAGAGAGAAACAGCCCCCAAUCCACACGCACCUCCUCCUCCUUCUCUAGCUCCUCUCCUCCAGCAGAUCUGCUCCCUCCUCUGCAGCAGAUCCUCUCCAGCAGCUCCUCCUCCUCUCCAGUAGCUCAUCCUCCUCCUCUUCAAUACAACAACAACCAGCAACAGGCAACAGCAAGGAGCCAACUGCCAAGAUAUACCUCCCCCAUCCUCUACUCCUCUCCCUCCCCCUUCUCCCCCACCCUCCUCUGAUCCAUUUCUUCCAUGUUCAGUUGUUCAUUGCUUGCUGCUUUUGAGUUGUUCAUCCUGCCUUGCUGGUUGCUCACUGCUUUGUGCUAGCUUCUUUGCUGGUUGCUCACUGCUUUGUGCUAGCUUCUUUGCUGGUUGCUCACUGCCUCUCUUAUAGUGGUUAGUGGAUGCCUGGAUGGUUAGAAUAAUGCAUGAUUACUAUUGGGGAGAAGAGAAAGUGCAAAGAAGAUGGAUGCUAUAUGGGCUCUACAACCAGCAGCAAGUGCAAGAUGUGUAGUGUGUAUGCCUAGUUGCCUACCAAGUUCUACUUCAUUCUACUGCUCAGAACUCUCUAAGGCGUCCGCCUUGCCUUAUGCCUUACCGCUUAGGCGGUGAGGCGCCCCCCCAGCGCCUUGCCUCGCCUUACCGCCUUAAAAACAUAGUAUACUAUGCAUUAAUCAUGUUAUUAAUACACAAAGGAUAACAGUAAGUAAAAAUAUACUUAUAGAGCAUGUCUGAGUAGUAUGUGCAUAUGGCAGCUAUGAUACUCGAAGCAAAAUAGUAGUAACAGAAACUAUUUACAGGGCCAUGCACAACAUGACUAUGGAUAGCAUGAAGAUAGAAGUAGGGCUGUGUUACGUGGAAAACAUGAACACUAUCCAUAGGGCCAAACUUUUGAGUAUUUAGCUUAGAGGCAUAAUCACAUGAUGAAAUUAUUCCCAAGAAUCAGAUGAUUUUUUUAAUGGCAUUGUCUUGCUAAGGUUACUUAAACAACUACGAAAUGGGCAUCAAACCCAAUGGAAACCAAGAUAUACUGAUGUGAAGCUUUUCAGAACUUAACACUGAACAUCUAAGGUAGAUAUCUAAUAUAUGGAUGCAAAGGAAAUACAAAAGGCAAUUUCAGCACCGGAAGUUUUGGAAAUACCAAGUGAUGCAUUCUUUGGAGAGUUGACGCAGACACAUAGCCAUUUACCGAUGUACAUCAAACCCAAUGGAAGCCAAGAUAUAUUGUCCAGGGUUUAGAUUUUGGCAGUUCAUAUAUUUCAUCCUACGCUUCAUACCUCACCAAAUAUCUAUGUUACAGAUAUGAGCAGUCUUAAGCCAAUCAAAGACAUUAUCCUUUCGGCACCUCUUGCUGAGCUUAGGGUUGCAAAAUCCAGAUCAUUUCAUACUUGAUAUAUGUAAGAAUUCCAUAGAGCUCCGAUUCGCCACUUGCUGGGUCAGGCAUAAGAAACAAUUAAAUUUUCAUGACAGACUAAUAAGAACC
RNAcentral lists this long non-coding RNA (10936 nucleotides) under Triticum aestivum (bread wheat). Its description in RNAcentral is "long non-coding RNA (TAES_LNC011301)". The record is from RNAcentral. Lineage: Eukaryota; Viridiplantae; Streptophyta; Magnoliopsida; Poales; Poaceae.